This 1083-nucleotide long non-coding RNA is filed under the name Anolis carolinensis (green anole). Its description in RNAcentral is "lncRNA (ENSACAG00000036843.1)". Lineage: Eukaryota; Metazoa; Chordata; Lepidosauria; Squamata; Anolidae. The record is from RNAcentral.
GCUUUUGAAAACUUGUAUAACAUAAUUCCAUGUGUAUCUACUGAGAAAUAAGCCCCACUGACUUACAUGGAACUUACUCACAUGGGGAGUGAUACUUCAGGAGGCAUGUGUGAGUCAGCCCCAUGGAGAAUGAAUGUCCUGAGGUACUAACUCCCCAUGUAAAUGUUGGAGCAGAGAUACUAUAAUCUUGGCUCUGUUCGGGUUUGCCCCAUGCUCUAUGCAUAAUUCCUGAGUGAAACACUAACCAGAGCCAUGAGUUGCACAGGCAUAGGCAGUGGACCUCUUUGGAGAAUGGUAUUUUACUGUGUUUUGUCAUGAAGAACAUUUAUUUAUUUAUUCCAUUUGACAGAUCAGUUCACCAUCCAGAAACAUGUCACCCAGACUUUACCUUCCCAAAUUGCAUAGUUCCUAGGAUUCAUAAACACUGGUCCUAAUGUUUUGUAUGGAAGCUUUCCCACUUUAUCUGCUGUGGAAGUAUGCUGAGUUGCAGAUGCCUGCCUUGUUCUAAUUGCUUUAUGAUUGGCUCCUGAAUUCCAUAUAAUAUAUCUGUUACUCUAUGUGUGUGCAUUGUGUUUCCACUUGCUAGCUUAAAUAUCCAGCGUACUCUACAAAAUGUAGCCUCAUUUGUUGGGGAUUGUGGAUAAAAAGUAGAAGCUCUUACGUGUGCCCAUGAACCCAGAGUCACCCUGCAGAAUGAUGCACCACUCAGCUUUGCAGAACAAAUAACACAGGAACUUUUAUUAAGUCCAAGAGAUCAACCAAACAAUGGUAUUUACAACAGUCCCUCUGAUUGCUUACAGAAAACAGCAGUCCUUUCUUAGUCCAUAAAUCUGCUUCAGUGGAGAUCAGCAGCAAACUAGGCCUCAGAAAUAGUCAGGCCUCUCUGAGUACAGAGCCAUCUUCUUUCCAGCCAGUACUCGGUAGACUCACACACACAUAGAGAGAAACCUGUUCAAACCGGUUCUCCAGCAGCAGGACAGCAACAGUUGCAAACCGAUUCCCAGAUCCUUGUAAACUCAGCCAAUUGGUUCCAUGCAUUUGAUUUUCCAGUUAACACAUAUAGUGUCUUUGCAAACCAUUACA